RNAcentral lists this ribosomal RNA (651 nucleotides) under uncultured Pseudomonadota bacterium. RNAcentral describes it as "bacterial SSU rRNA". It matches the Rfam family "Bacterial small subunit ribosomal RNA", at positions 53 to 693 of the family's 1533-position model. Lineage: Bacteria; Pseudomonadati; Pseudomonadota. The record is from RNAcentral.
ACAUGCAAGUCGAACGGUAACAGGAAGAAGCUUGCUUCUUUGCUGACGAGUGGCGGACGGGUGAGUAAUGUCUGGGAAACUGCCUGAUGGAGGGGGAUAACUACUGGAAACGGUAGCUAAUACCGCAUAACGUCGCAAGACCAAAGAGGGGGACCUUCGGGCCUCUUGCCAUCGGAUGUGCCCAGAUGGGAUUAGCUAGUAGGUGGGGUAACGGCUCACCUAGGCGACGAUCCCUAGCUGGUCUGAGAGGAUGACCAGCCACACUGGAACUGAGACACGGUCCAGACUCCUACGGGAGGCAGCAGUGGGGAAUAUUGCACAAUGGGUGCAAGCCUGAUGCAGCCAUGCCGCGUGUAUGAAGAAGGCCUUCGGGUUGUAAAGUACUUUCAGCGGGGAGGAAGGGAGUAAAGUUAAUACCUUUGCUCAUUGACGUUACCCGCAGAAGAAGCACCGGCUAACUCCGUGCCAGCAGCCGCGGUAAUACGGAGGGUGCAAGCGUUAAUCGGAAUUACUGGGCGUAAAGCGCACGCAGGCGGUUUGUUAAGUCAGAUGUGAAAUCCCCGGGCUCAACCUGGGAACUGCAUCUGAUACUGGCAAGCUUGAGUCUCGUAGAGGGGGGUAGAAUUCCAGGUGUAGCGGUGAAAUGCGUAG